This is a non-coding RNA of Bos taurus (domestic cattle), 71 nucleotides long. Lineage: Eukaryota; Metazoa; Chordata; Mammalia; Artiodactyla; Bovidae. The record is from Rfam.
UUCCUGGUGGUCCAGUGGUUAAGACUUUGCCUUCCAAUGCAGGGGUACAGGUUUGAUCCCUGGCCAGGGAG